AUUUCCUAAAGAGCCGAGCACACUGCGAUGGUGAGCUGUACACAUCUCAAGAAUGAGGCACAGCAUCUCGGGCCUUCUAAUUAGCUCUGCUGGCAUAAUUGACUCUGGCUGGGCACCAGAGUUGGUACAGCUGUGAGCUGACAAGGCUGUGAGGAGGCAGGAGGAGACAAAAGAAGAUGAGCAAUAGUAGCACCACACACCUGUGAGAGGGAGGCAAGGAAGGAAAGACCCUAGGACUGAGGGGAGAAUACACAGAAGAGAUCAGAAGAAAUAGAGAAGGACUGACAGGCAAAAACAAAUGAGAAAGAAGGAGUUUGUCAACCUUCACUGACAGCAUAGAAGCAGGGAAAUACCUUUGAAGCAGGAUAUGAGAACAAAGAACACAAUAAGCAGUCCAUAAAUGGUCCCAAUUUGUAUUAAAUUAAGAUAGGAAAAAAACUACAUACAUCCAAGGCAUGGAUUAUUAUGGAUUCUCUUGAAGGGAAAAGAUGCUGCUCACAGGAAGAACUUCCCACCACAGCUGCCACUGAUGCUCCCAGUUUCUGGCCUCCUGCAGUUCCCCACAGCAACCUCUUCAUCCUCUGUAGGACUUAAAAUUUAAUAGCAGUGUGUAAGCUUUCUCAACAAUGCUCGCCUUUUCAGACUCACGAGCCUGACAGACACACAGAAACAACUUCUGCUCAGCUUUCUCAGAGGCUGGAAAUGGGUCACUCAUCCCCUCAUUGGUUCCUCACCUCCCAGGACAGCUGAAAGCAGGGCUUGGCAGCCCAUGGGUGGGAUAACACCACUACAGAGCAGGAACAAGUCAGAGUUCUGAUGUGCUGGGGACUCCUUUGGACAUGCAGCCCGGCACAGACUCAUCAGACAAGAGAUAUGCAGCAAGCUCCCUUCUCUUUGUUUCACAAUAUCCUGCCGAGGCCAAAGGUCCUUUGAGGUUUAUAUAAAUUACAGUGGUUCCCUCUUAUUUGCCCAUUAUGAGCGUGUCCCAGUUGGAAUUCAAACAGAUUAGUGAUGAGGCAUGAGUUUCCUGCAGAAACUUUGCUCUUUAGAUACCAUCAUCUUUCUUUUUCUUUUUUUCCUACUUGAUAUUCUGUCUUCAACCAGCUUAUAAAACAGAAGUGUGUAUCUGGGAGAGUAUGUGCUUCCUCAAAUUAUCUCAAUCCUGUUUUCAACUCUGGGUACAACUGUUACCUUCCACUUCUUCAGCAAAAUAGCUGUUUUUAAUUAAGAAAGGCAUAUUUUUGUUGCAGAUCAGCUAUUUCAUACUAAGCUCCUUCUAAACUUUUCAAUGUACCAUCUGGAGCUGAUGAUUUGCUGCUUUUUAAAUUAUCGAUUUGUUCCAGCUCUUCCUUCUGACACAUCUUGAUUACCAGAAAGGAGAAAGUCCCAGUAGGUACCACUCUGAUAUUCUCUGUGCUGAAGAGUGCUGCAAACAAAUCAUUUAGAUUCUCAGCAAUGUCUUUAUCUUCUUUAAUUUCUGCCUUUGAUCUUUGGUGAUCCAGUUCCUGAACUACCAGUUAAUUAUUCCAACUCUUCUGACUGACAAACCUGAAGCAUUCUUAUUUUAUAACUUCAGUAUUUUGCAGUCUACCAUACUUCCUUUUUAUUUCCCUUUCAUCUAGUCUUUACACUAAUUAAUAAACCAAUGUAUUGGUAAAAUAAGGUUAGAUUU
RNAcentral lists this long non-coding RNA (1672 nucleotides) under Cyanistes caeruleus (blue tit). Its description in RNAcentral is "lncRNA (ENSCCEG00000017618.1)". The record is from RNAcentral. Lineage: Eukaryota; Metazoa; Chordata; Aves; Passeriformes; Paridae.